UACCCUAAACGAGGAUCUCCAUCGCUGUAAGCUGCUGGCGUGUUGUGUCGGAAUGAACGGUUUGUGCUGGACGGCCUUAGACGGUCGGAUCAAGUGAUGAGCUUCCAAACCGAUCCACAAUCUUGAGCCAAACUUUUCUAUCUCUGCUUCGAUUUUGACGCUUUAGCCAUACUGAACAUAGAAACCGGCCCUUGGCGCUUACGAGAACAAAGUCGCCGAAAGGAAUCGACCUGCAAAAUAGCAAUAAACUUAUAACCUAUCCAAGGUCCAAAACAGCCGUUAGCAUGAUUUUAGGGUAGCGGUUGUCGAAUAGGUGGCGGUGCCGAGAUUUGGUUGUUGCUGUCGGAGGUGUGGUAGCGAUUUGAAGGUAAACGGUGAAUUUAGGUUGAAGGACGGUUUAGUGGUUUGAUGGUUUUUGUGAGGGUUUCGUGAGAGGAUGACGGUGAGGUUGUGGUGGAGGUUCUAUGGUGACGGAUAGUGGUGAGCGUGAUGACGGUGAGCGGAGGCGAGGGGGGUGGGAUGGAGAUUCGGAGUGAAUCGAAAACGGAGGCGGCGUUGUAGUGUUGUUGUGUGACGGUUGAGCGCUUGCAAGGAGAUUUGGGGUUUGAAGAGGGAUUUGUGAGGAGGAGGGAGAGAGAGCGAUGGAGUUGGUGUGCGGUGUUUCGGAGUGAUGGCGGAGGAUGGUGACGAGCUGGGGUUUCGCCGGAGGAUGAAGGGUUUUAUGGUUGAAAGAGAGAGGAAAUUCUUUGGAUUUUUCUGUGAGGAUUUUUCUGAGAGAGGGAGAGUGUAGGGAUUUAUGAGUGUGGUUGAGAGCGUGAGAUCAUCAGAGGAUCUCCUUAGAUCUUUUUUUGGAUUUUUUUAUAACCGUUUGAGAGUGAGUGUGUAAAGAGAUUUUUUUUUGUUUUUUU
RNAcentral lists this long non-coding RNA (908 nucleotides) under Lathyrus oleraceus (garden pea). RNAcentral describes it as "Pisum sativum (pea) long non-coding RNA (PSAT_LNC040409)". Lineage: Eukaryota; Viridiplantae; Streptophyta; Magnoliopsida; Fabales; Fabaceae. The record is from RNAcentral.